This 460-nucleotide ribosomal RNA is filed under the name uncultured bacterium. RNAcentral's name for it is "partial 16S ribosomal RNA". It matches the Rfam family "Bacterial small subunit ribosomal RNA", at positions 338 to 795 of the family's 1533-position model. The record is from RNAcentral.
CCUACGGGAGACAGCAGUGAGGAAUAUUGGUCAAUGGACGAGAGUCUGAACCAGCCAAGUAGCGUGAAGGAUGACUGCCCUAUGGGUUGUAAACUUCUUUUAUAUGGGAAUAAAAUGUUCCACGUGUGGGAUUUUGUAUGUACCAUAUGAAUAAGGAUCGGCUAACUCCGUGCCAGCAGCCGCGGUAAUACGGAGGAUCCGAGCGUUAUCCGGAUUUAUUGGGUUUAAAGGGAGCGUAGGUGGAUUGUUAAGUCAGUUGUGAAAGUUUGCGGCUCAACCGUAAAAUUGCAGUUGAAACUGGCAGUCUUGAGUACAGUAGAGGUGGGCGGAAUUCGUGGUGUAGCGGUGAAAUGCUUAGAUAUCACGAAGAACUCCGAUUGCGAAGGCAGCUCACUGGACUGCAACUGACGCUGAGGAGCGAAAGCGUGGGUAGCAAACAGGAUUAGAUACCCCAGUAGUC